RNAcentral lists this long non-coding RNA (216 nucleotides) under Setaria italica (foxtail millet). RNAcentral's name for it is "long non-coding RNA (SITA_LNC003841)". The record is from RNAcentral. Lineage: Eukaryota; Viridiplantae; Streptophyta; Magnoliopsida; Poales; Poaceae.
AGGUUUUGGAUUAGUAAGUCUGCUGCAAGGCGGUGGUGGCACUCUACUCUUGCAGCAUUUCUUGCACGUCGUUGAGUUCUUUGAGCUUUAGUCUCUUCUCUGACAACAUUGGCAGUGAGCUCAUCUUGCGAGACAUCAUCAGGAUGAUGCUUAUAUCAUGGGUUUCUGUCCCAUUGCUCUUCUUCUUCGCCCUCUUGUCCAGUAAUGAGAGCAAAG